This 228-nucleotide ribosomal RNA is filed under the name Encephalitozoon intestinalis. RNAcentral describes it as "partial small subunit ribosomal RNA". It matches the Rfam family "Microsporidia small subunit ribosomal RNA", at positions 628 to 853 of the family's 1311-position model. The record is from RNAcentral. Lineage: Eukaryota; Fungi; Microsporidia; Unikaryonidae.
GAUGAAGGACGAAGGCUAGAGGAUCGAAAUCGAUUAGAUACCGUUUUAGUUCUAGCAGUAAACGAUGCCGACUGGACGGGACUAUAUAGUGUUGUGCAUGAGAAAUCUUGAGUAUGUGGGUUCUGGGGAUAGUAUGCUCGCAAGAGUGAAACUUGAAGAGAUUGACGGAAGGACACCACAAGGAGUGGAGUGUGCGGCUUAAUUUGACUCAACGCGGGGCAACUUACC